CACCUGUGAAUGGAACUCAGGCCACUGAAGUGGAGCACACUGAACUUAACCACUAGGCCACGGGGGCUGGCCCACAUCUUAUCUUUUUAUGUCUACGUUUCCUAGCUUACACCCAUCCAAGAAAGGUUCAUCAAAUGGAUCUUCCACUGUUAUGAGCACUGUUAGAAGUAUUUCUCUGUGGAAACAUGCCGAUGCCUUGUGUCUGGGAGUUCACGCCGGGCCCUUCAUCCAUUCUUGCCCCUGUUGUACUUGCUGCAUCUUUGCAGGCAAGGCCGGAGUUAGGGGCUCAAAGUUCUGCGCUCCCGGUAGACACCGGGCCAAAGCACAGACAUUUGCCAGGUCUUCCCUUCCCUUCUCUUUAGGUCCUAGCGGUCAGGAGCACUUGAGCAUCGAGGCGGUGGGGAGGAAGAAGUCCUGAGCAUGGGGAUGGGGAGGGUGGCUUGCGGGGGAUCCACCAGGGCUGGUCAGGAGGCGGCCGGCCUGCUGCAGGACUGCGGGGAAGCCAGUAAGACGGUCUCCGCCUCUUUGCAGAGUCCACAAUCAGUGCUUCAGGGGGUGGGGGGCGGGGGUGGUGGUUGGUGCUGUGCAAACUGCUGCGGAAACCAGAGGGAGAAGGAAGGAAACUGAGAGCAGAAACCAUAGGCAGACUGGAUUUUUCCCUCAGAGAACUUUCUGGCGCGGCACCCUCAAUCUGAGAAAUCAUGAGCGCUUUCGCAAAUAAAAAGCAACAAACCUUCCUGCUAAAGACGGGCGAGUUUGUGACCUGCUCCAGGGCCAGUAAUCCCACCUGGUGGUCAGAGAAGAGGCCUUUCAGGGAAGGCAGGUGGGACAGCCACGUGACCAGCAGACACAACAGACCCCCCCCCCCCCCCCCCCCCCCGCAGGUCUCCAGGAGAGAUCUCUGACAUGCAGCCUUCAGGCUCCCUUGUUUUCCAAAAGAGCAGAAUGAGUAAUUUUUGCCCCACACUCUGGUUGUUUAAAAACCUACAUUGUUUAAAGAUCUCAACUUUACACGCAAAUAAAACGCUUCUAAAUCACUCACGUCUUUUUCCUUUAAUAUUUGAGUCAUCCAUGUAAACGCUUCGCCGGGGGGAAGGGUGAGUGGUAAGGGCUUUGGAGGAACAUAAAGCCCCGAAAUAUUUAUGUUUCUUGCAGCUUUCCAGGUGGCAACGAAUAGACCUAUUUUACAGAGUGCCCACCACUGCCCACUUUGCACUGUGGACCUUAUUUACUUAAAACGGUUCUCGGCAUGCACGUUUUUGAACUGCUGCUGCCAGAACCUGCCUGCUGCUCGAAUGGAUGGCAUACUGAGUAUUUUAGGAAUAAAAUUUACCUAAAAUAAUUUAAUAACAGUUUUUAAAUAUAAUUAGAUAUUCCAUUUAAAGUUUCCAGAGUCCCAAUUGUCUCAAGAAGGGUAACAUUUGUGGAAAAAUUAGAAAUUUUAACCUAGACCUGAUAAUUAAGGAUAUUAAGAAAUAAUUAUUUUGUCUUGGAUGUAAUAGGAUAUUGCGGUUCGUUUUAUGGUUAUUUUGUCAGUCUUUAUUUUUUAUAUAUAUUGUAUAUUUGCCUAUGUAUACACACGUAUUUGGUGUAUGUGAUAUAUCUAUACUAUAGUAUUUAUGGAUGACAGGAUAGGAUGUCUGGGAUGUGCUUUGAAAUAAUACAGGAGUGGUGGUGAGUGGGUGGGAUUUAGAGGAGAUGAGAUUGGCUGUGAAUUAAUUGUUAUUGAAGUUGAGUGACAGGUAUGUGGGAGUCUAUUAAACUUGUCUGUUAACUUUUGUAUGUGCUUAAAAUUUUCCAUAGGAAAGAAAUUAAUGAAAAGGACACAAUACUGAAAUAAACAUUCAGGUGCAUAACUCCUUAUGUACAUGUGACGGUUUCUUCUGGGCAAAAACUUAGAAGUGCGGCUUCAGCUCUUCCGGAUAGUGCCAAGUUGCUCCCCAGAGUCAAUGGCAGCCUUUGACAGGGACCAGGUCAGAACUCAGCUUGCCUCACUUAGAGGACGAGUGCCAUCUCUGUGUUGGGCCUUUUUUACACGCUCUGUCCAGGGCGGGGAGGAGGAACGUGUGGGCGUGUCGGUCCUCCUGCGGGUGAGACAAGUGUGAUAGCUGCAGCUGGAGUGGGUUAGUGCUUUCUGGAGUGCGAGCUCUUGCCUAAGUCCGCCUACUGCUCAUGUUCCCACCUUUGAGCUCUCGUUUUGGGUGUAAGACACUAAGUUUAUGAAAAUCUACAUAAUCUGCUGUUUUUAUUUUGCUACAAAGAAAUACAUGUUUAUUACAGAAAUUUAUGACAUUACAAAUAAAAGGGAGAAAAUAAAAACCAGCCAACCUACCAUGGCUGGCAGUAUUUUGCAUUUACUCUUCAGUAUUUUUCCUUUGCUAAUACACUACAUUCCAUUGAAGUAUGAUUUCUUCACUUGAGACAUUUUUUCCUAUUAUUAAACAGCCUUUUACAAUAUAGUUUUUGAUGGUGGCGUGGUAUUUUGUUGGCUGAAAAUUGCAUAAUUCAUUUAAAUAAUUCCUAAUUUUCAGCACUUAGACUGUUUCCAAUAUUUCCCUACUUUUUCUGUUUUUGCCUUGUGCUCAUUUUGAAGGACUCAGCACUUUGACUUGUCUCCAGGUGGAACCCUCCCCAAUGUGAGUGAUCACACGGGACUGUUUCAGGAGAAACACAGCACACGCCACGCAGUGGAAACUCAGGAUCAUCAGCCAUUUCGCAUUUGUGUUUUCUACCCUCUGGUCUUCUUUCCAGACAGUAGCCUCUUCUCUCUUCUUUCUUUUCCCCAGACAGUUUCCAAAUGUCCCCCGUGAUGUCCAGAGUUCAGAGUUAUUCAUCUCUGCACACUCCCUCAGCAAAGCAGAAAGUUCUGCAGUUAGCAGAACUAACCAUCUUGAGACAGCAAUUCACGGACCAUCUAUUUUCACUGAAAUGUGUCCCUUGAAAGUUUCACCAAAUGAUUUCUCAAAGUAUUAUAUGAUCCAUAACUACUUCCUUGAGAUAAAUUCUUAGGGAGGGAAUGGCUAUACCAGAGAGCAUAAAAAAUGUGGAGACUUCUGCUGAUUUUUAAUAAUAAAGUGUGUUGAUUUGCUUUCUGCCAGUGCUCCAUCAGUCAGCGUUCAGCCAGGAGAACAGAACCACUGUGAGGGGUACCGAAAAAGGGAUCUGUCAUAGCGAUGAGACUUUCCACAAUCACGGAAGAGCUAAGGAAGUCAAGUUCUGGAAGGAGAUUGGUUGGAGGAUCAGAGAAAAGCCGCCAACCAGGGAGCGUGGAGGGGAGCUGCUAGGGGUUGGGCUGACAUUGCUGUAGUUCAGCAGGGCAGGCAGUUGGGAGGAAAAGCUGGUGGUGAAGCAGAGGAAAAUGGACAAGUGGAAUGUAUGAGGGCGAACUGUGUCUGUCUUUCACUGCAUCUGACUCCAGUGAUGCUGGUGGCAUGUGGAAGAAGCUGCUGCUCACUGUGGAGCCGUACACGUGCCUGGCCCAGGACCAGGGGAAGCUGAAGGAGGCGAUCUGGUGGGAGCUGAAGGAACCGCAUAGGUGCUGCUGCCGGAGGCCGACGAGAUGACCCUGCUGAUCAGCACUGCGUGUGACCUGCACCAGCCGCUGCACUGAGCUUCCAAGCAUAACGGCUGCUGUUGAACUUGUGGCUUCCACAUCUUAUGCAAAUGUCUCUGUGUAUAAUCCCAGCUCGGAACAGUAUGGGGAAAGGACUUUGGGAAGCAUAGUUCCAGUUUAGCUCAGUUGACACAGAGUAAAACCACCACAGGUAGUGCCCGAAGGACUUCGUUGGUGCCAGGAUAGAAAAAUGAAUUCUAGUGAAUCUGGCAAGCAUUUACUACUGUCCAGUUUUGUUGACAAUGGUGGCAGCACGAAGCAGAGUGAUAGAAAGGAGUGAGGGGGAGACGGAACCAGAAUAAUGCGGGUGGCGGAGUUUAAGGGACUCCAUCUUUGUCUCCUUGUUCUCGUUAUGGAGCACUUGCCCAGGAGACAUGAGAGUGGAACGCCAUGUGCCACCGCAGCUGGUUCUGGCAGCUGGAACUGACAAAUGACCACGAGCCUUGAGUGGCCUGGCAGCACCAGACUCCGGACCUCACUGAAGACCUUCCUGACCGUCAACAGUGGGGCUGUUCUAACCUACAGUGGACAGACUGCGGACUCAGUCCUCCGAAGGAUUCUCUCCCGAAUUAGCAUAACCGCCCUGAAACCUCCUUCCUUACGCAGCCUCUCUGCGUUUCCCGCUCUGUGCGUUCCUCAGUUGUUACUCACUGGUGGGUGUUUCCUCGCCUGAUGAAUUUUUUCCCAGGCACUGGCAGUCUUUGUUUUAUUCUUUGGCAUGUAGGAAGCCAGUUAAUAGGUGUUUUUAUUAACUUUCAGUGCUGUUUCCAUGUGUGUUUCCCUCUCGGGUGAGCGAGGUGAGGGAUGACGUCUGUGGGCGCAGAUGAUGCCCUUCUCGGUGCCUCAGUGCCCUGUGACCACCCGCCCCUUGCCAAACGGAUCACUUAUACAAUUUGGGGGGGUCCUGUUUAACGAAAAGAACAACAAACCUUCAGCAAAUUUUUAUUUGCAAACAACAAAUAUUUAUUUAAAGUGAGAAAAUAGAACCCAACAAAUUACAAAUUUAAAGCAGGCGAGAAACGCCGCUUCCUAACCGGAGCGCACACGGCGUUGCCUUUCCGCCUUUGGAGCCGCCACAGCAGCUGCGCAGGCGCAGGGCCCGGACGCUGGAGCGGCUUCGGCUUCGCGCGAAUCCCCUGGACGCCGCCGCCCGGCCGUCAGGCCCCGCCCCCGGCAGCCCCGCCCCGCCUCCUCUCGGCGGCUGGGAGGGACGCCAGGUUCGUGGACUGAGAGAGGCUCAGGUGUGGGGAUGAGCCCCGGGUUGGGGACCUGGGCCUCUUCCCUGUGCGUAGCCCCCUCCUUGGAAAUCAGUAGCCUCUCGGAGCUGUGCUUUCUUCUUUAUAAGAUGGAAUCGGAGGACGUGCAGGCUCGCCGCCUGUGGUUCUGCAGGAGGGGUCCAGGGAUGCGGUGAGGGAGUCCUACGCUUCACAGCCCCAAGUCCGCGAAAACCUGUAUUGUUGGUGCGGAGCGGGCUCUAGUCUAAGGAAAUACGAUCUACGAUCCUCUCUGUACAAAGAAACGUGACUAACCGGUAAUUUAAGAUGUGGAAACCAUCUUCCUCACCAAAAACAAAAAGCAUAAAAAAAGGGAAGGGAGAUAUAGAAAUUUAUGCAUGUGUCUACAGAUGGGUAAUCAGUGGUUUUCAGUGAUAAUAAAGAGCAUUUCUUCACGGAGAA
This is a non-coding RNA of Equus caballus (horse), 5289 nucleotides long. The record is from RefSeq and is a predicted model, not a curated record. Lineage: Eukaryota; Metazoa; Chordata; Mammalia; Perissodactyla; Equidae.